GACGAACGCUGGCGGCGUGCUUAACACAUGCAAGUCGAACGGAAAGGCCCUGCUUUUGUGGGGUGCUCGAGUGGCGAACGGGUGAGUAACACGUGAGUAACCUGCCCUUGACUUUGGUAUAACUUCAGGAAACUGGGGCUAAUACCGGAUAGGAGCUCCUGCUGCAUGGUGGGGGUUGGAAAGUUUCGGCGGUUGUGGAUGGACUCGCGGCUUAUCAGCUUGUUGGUGGGGGAGUGGCUUACCAAGGCUUUGACGGGUAGCCGGCCUGAGAGGGGGACCGGCGACAUUGGGACUGAGAUACGGCCCAGACUCCUACGGGAGGCAGCAGUGGGGAAUAUUGCACAAUGGGCGGAAGCCUGAUGCAGCAACGCCGCGUGCGGGAUGACGGCCUUCGGGUUGUAAACCGCUUUCGCCUGUGACGAAGCGUGAGUGACGGUAAUGGGUAAAGAAGCACCGGCUAACUACGUG
This 468-nucleotide ribosomal RNA is filed under the name uncultured bacterium. Its description in RNAcentral is "partial 16S ribosomal RNA". It matches the Rfam family "Bacterial small subunit ribosomal RNA", at positions 28 to 507 of the family's 1533-position model. The record is from RNAcentral.